GAGUUUGAUCCUGGCUCAGAUUGAACGCUGGCGGCAUGCCUUACACAUGCAAGUCGAACGGCAGCGCGGACUUCGGUCUGGCGGCGAGUGGCGAACGGGUGAGUAAUACAUCGGAACGUACCCUGUUGUGGGGGAUAACUAGUCGAAAGAUUAGCUAAUACCGCAUACGACCUGAGGGUGAAAGCGGGGGACCGCAAGGCCUCGCGCAGCAGGAGCGGCCGAUGUCUGAUUAGCUAGUUGGUGGGGUAAAGGCCCACCAAGGCGACGAUCAGUAGCUGGUCUGAGAGGACGAUCAGCCACACUGGGACUGAGACACGGCCCAGACUCCUACGGGAGGCAGCAGUGGGGAAUUUUGGACAAUGGGGGCAACCCUGAUCCAGCAAUGCCGCGUGUGUGAAGAAGGCCUUCGGGUUGUAAAGCACUUUUGUCCGGAAAGAAAACGCUCUGGUUAAUACCUGGGGUGGAUGACGGUACCGGAAGAAUAAGCACCGGCUAACUACGUGCCAGCAGCCGCGGUAAUACGUAGGGUGCGAGCGUUAAUCGGAAUUACUGGGCGUAAAGCGUGCGCAGGCGGUUUUGUAAGACAGGCGUGAAAUCCCCGAGCUCAACUUGGGAAUUGCGCUUGUGACUGCAAGGCUAGAGUAUGUCAGAGGGGGGUAGAAUUCCACGUGUAGCAGUGAAAUGCGUAGAGAUGUGGAGGAAUACCGAU
Molecule: ribosomal RNA, 709 nt
Filed under: Ralstonia sp. enrichment culture
Lineage: Bacteria; Pseudomonadati; Pseudomonadota; Betaproteobacteria; Burkholderiales; Burkholderiaceae
Description: bacterial SSU rRNA
Rfam family: Bacterial small subunit ribosomal RNA
Source: RNAcentral